Molecule: ribosomal RNA, 1549 nt
Filed under: Serratia marcescens
Lineage: Bacteria; Pseudomonadati; Pseudomonadota; Gammaproteobacteria; Enterobacterales; Yersiniaceae
Description: bacterial SSU rRNA
Rfam family: Bacterial small subunit ribosomal RNA
Source: RNAcentral
UUUAAUUGAAGAGUUUGAUCAUGGCUCAGAUUGAACGCUGGCGGCAGGCUUAACACAUGCAAGUCGAGCGGUAGCACAGGGGAGCUUGCUCCCUGGGUGACGAGCGGCGGACGGGUGAGUAAUGUCUGGGAAACUGCCUGAUGGAGGGGGAUAACUACUGGAAACGGUAGCUAAUACCGCAUAACGUCGCAAGACCAAAGAGGGGGACCUUCGGGCCUCUUGCCAUCAGAUGUGCCCAGAUGGGAUUAGCUAGUAGGUGGGGUAAUGGCUCACCUAGGCGACGAUCCCUAGCUGGUCUGAGAGGAUGACCAGCCACACUGGAACUGAGACACGGUCCAGACUCCUACGGGAGGCAGCAGUGGGAAUAUUGCACAAUGGGCGCAAGCCUGAUGCAGCCAUGCCGCGUGUGUGAAGAAGGCCUUCGGGUUGUAAAGCACUUUCAGCGAGGAGGAAGGUGGUGAGCUUAAUACGCUCAUCAAUUGACGUUACUCGCAGAAGAAGCACCGGCUAACUCCGUGCCAGCAGCCGCGGUAAUACGGAGGGUGCAAGCGUUAAUCGGAAUUACUGGGCGUAAAGCGCACGCAGGCGGUUUGUUAAGUCAGAUGUGAAAUCCCCGGGCUCAACCUGGGAACUGCAUUUGAAACUGGCAAGCUAGAGUCUCGUAGAGGGGGGUAGAAUUCCAGGUGUAGCGGUGAAAUGCGUAGAGAUCUGGAGGAAUACCGGUGGCGAAGGCGGCCCCUGGACGAAGACUGACGCUCAGGUGCGAAAGCGUGGGAGCAAACAGGAUUAGAUACCCUGGUAGUCCACGCUGUAAACGAUGUCGAUUUGGAGGUUGUGCCCUUGAGGCGUGGCUUCCGGAGCUAACGCGUUAAAUCGACCGCCUGGGGAGUACGGCCGCAAGGUUAAAACUCAAAUGAAUUGACGGGGGCCCGCACAAGCGGUGGAGCAUGUGGUUUAAUUCGAUGCAACGCGAAGAACCUUACCUACUCUUGACAUCCAGAGAACUUAGCAGAGAUGCUUUGGUGCCUUCGGGAACUCUGAGACAGGUGCUGCAUGGCUGUCGUCAGCUCGUGUUGUGAAAUGUUGGGUUAAGUCCCGCAACGAGCGCAACCCUUAUCCUUUGUUGCCAGCGGUUCGGCCGGGAACUCAAAGGAGACUGCCAGUGAUAAACUGGAGGAAGGUGGGGAUGACGUCAAGUCAUCAUGGCCCUUACGAGUAGGGCUACACACGUGCUACAAUGGCAUAUACAAAGAGAAGCGACCUCGCGAGAGCAAGCGGACCUCAUAAAGUAUGUCGUAGUCCGGAUUGGAGUCUGCAACUCGACUCCAUGAAGUCGGAAUCGCUAGUAAUCGUAGAUCAGAAUGCUACGGUGAAUACGUUCCCGGGCCUUGUACACACCGCCCGUCACACCAUGGGAGUGGGUUGCAAAAGAAGUAGGUAGCUUAACCUUCGGGAGGGCGCUUACCACUUUGUGAUUCAUGACUGGGGUGAAGUCGUAACAAGGUAACCGUAGGGGAACCUGCGGUUGGAUCACCUCCUUACCUAAAGA